RNAcentral lists this long non-coding RNA (862 nucleotides) under Vigna radiata. RNAcentral's name for it is "long non-coding RNA (VRAD_LNC004898)". Lineage: Eukaryota; Viridiplantae; Streptophyta; Magnoliopsida; Fabales; Fabaceae. The record is from RNAcentral.
GGUCUUUAAUCAUGAUCAAUCCAUCAUCUACGUUGAUGAAUACUUUAGUCGUCUUCAUGAGCGGUCUUCCAAGAAUGAUUGGAUACUUUUCAUCCUCCUUCAUCUCCAUGACCAUAAAGUCAACCAGGAAUUUAAGUCUUUUUAUGCGAAUCACAACAUCCUCCACCACACCGUAGGGUUUCUUUGGUGAUCCAUCUGCCAUUAUCAAGGAAAUCUUUGGUGGCUUCAAUCUAAGACCACCAAUCUUUUUCAGCAUAGAUAGGAGCAUCAUAUUAAUGCUUGACCCUAAAUCAAGUACGGCUCUCCCUAUCUUCACACUCCCAAUGGUGCAAGGAACUGUAAAACCUCUUGGGUCUUUAACUUUAAGAGGGCAUGAUUUCUUCAACAAGUCACUACAACCUCCCUGUUCAUCAAUAACUUCCUCAUAUUGAACUAUGUUUUCAUCGAGGUACUGCUUUAUACGCCUAGCAUAAAUAGGAAUUUGUUGAAGUGCUUCAAUCAACAGUAUAGUAAUCUCUAAUUGAUUGAAGAUUUCUCUAAAAUGCUCACAUUUUCUUUCUACUAUCUCACGCCCCUUUGGAUAAGGAAGAAUACUCUCUUCUUUUUCACUUCUUUUUUUCUUUCUCACUUUUUUUCUCUCCCCUCUUCUCUUCCUCUUCUUUCAACUCAACCUCACACAUUUUCUCUUCUUUUUCUUCUUCCCUCACUAACUCAACACUCUCCUUUUUCUCAUCCACUCUCUCCUCAACUACACUCACUAUGGCCUUACAAUCUUCCUUAGGGUUAACCUCAGUAUUAGCCCCAAAUUGCUUCUCUGCCUUGUCCUUCAGCCUUUUAGCUAACUGACUGAUCUACAUCUCCA